AAACCGUUGAAAGGGAAGCGAAUGGAGUUAGCAAUUCGCCCUGCCAGAUUCAGUUGUCCGCGCUUCGCGACGAGCACGCUCUCGAUCCGCAUGGACGAGACGUGCCCGGACGCGACGUGCGAACGGCGCACUUCUGGCGGGCGAGCGUCAGCGUCGGUCGCCGACGAGCGAUAAGGUCGCGUGCAAGGUAGACGCAUCCGCUUGGGCGCGUUGUUAAGACUCGCGUACGCAUAGCUCGACGGCGACCGUGGCUUGUAUUCUCGACGACGCGUGCCUGGCUGGCGACUCGUGCGAUCGGUCCGGCAUGACGACCGCGGCGGACGGCACGCCUGUGCGCUCGAACUGCUGCCGGUCGCUCGCACGAUGCUCGCACACUACGCGUCGAUGAUGCUGACGACCAUACGGCUCCAUCCGACCCGUCUUGAAACACGGACCAAGGAGUCUAACAUGUGCGCGAGUCUCCGGGUGAUCGAAACCCGUGGGCGCAAUGAAAGUAAAGGCCGUCCCCGUGACGGCUGAGGUGAGAAGCGCGUUCACUCGCGCGCCGCAUCAUCGACCGACCUAUUCUGCUCUCAGAAAGGUUUGAGUAAGAGCGUAUCUGUUGGGACCCGAAAGAUGGUGAACUAUGCCUGAAUAGGGUGAAGCCAGCGGAAA
RNAcentral lists this ribosomal RNA (654 nucleotides) under Lobophytum crassum. RNAcentral's name for it is "eukaryotic LSU rRNA". It matches the Rfam family "Eukaryotic large subunit ribosomal RNA", at positions 402 to 861 of the family's 3401-position model. RNAcentral also lists the same sequence under 2 other names. Lineage: Eukaryota; Metazoa; Cnidaria; Anthozoa; Malacalcyonacea; Alcyoniidae. The record is from RNAcentral.